RNAcentral lists this ribosomal RNA (462 nucleotides) under uncultured bacterium. RNAcentral describes it as "partial 16S ribosomal RNA". It matches the Rfam family "Bacterial small subunit ribosomal RNA", at positions 28 to 507 of the family's 1533-position model. The record is from RNAcentral.
GACGAACGCUGGCGGCGUGCUUAACACAUGCAAGUCGAGCGGUAAGGACUUUCGGGGUACACGAGCGGCGAACGGGUGAGUAACACGUGGGUGAUCUGCCCUGCACUUCGGGAUAAGCCUGGGAAACUGGGUCUAAUACCGGAUAUGACCUCCUAUCGCAUGGUGGGUGGUGGAAAGAUUUAUCGGUGCAGGAUGGGCCCGCGGCCUAUCAGCUUGUUGGUGGGGUAAUGGCCUACCAAGGCGACGACGGGUAGCCGACCUGAGAGGGUGACCGGCCACACUGGGACUGAGACACGGCCCAGACUCCUACGGGAGGCAGCAGUGGGGAAUAUUGCACAAUGGGCGAAAGCCUGAUGCAGCGACGCCGCGUGAGGGAUGACGGCCUUCGGGUUGUAAGCCUCUUUCAGCAGGGACGAAGCGCAAGUGACGGUACCUGCAGAAGAAACACCGGCUAACUACGUG